UCGGGAAUUUUGCGCAAUGGGCGAAAGCCUGACGCAGCAACGCCGCGUGAGGGAUGACGGCCUUCGGGUUGUAAACCUCUUUUGUCAGGGAAGAUGAUGACGGUACCUGACGAAUAAGCCACGGCUAACUACGUGCCAGCAGCCGCGGUAAUACGUAGGUGGCAAGCGUUGUCCGGAUUUACUGGGCGUAAAGAGCGCGCAGGCGGUCGAUUUAGUCGCGUGUGAAAGCCCCCGGCUCAACUGGGGAGGGUCACGCGAUACUGAUCGACUCGAAGGCAGGAGAGGGUAGUGGAAUUCCCGGUGUAGUGGUGAAAUUCGUAGAUAUCUGGAGGAACACCGGUGGCGAAGGCGGCAUCCUGGACCGACAUUGACGCUGAGGCGCGAAAGCCAGGGGAGCAAA
Molecule: ribosomal RNA, 400 nt
Filed under: uncultured bacterium
Lineage: Bacteria
Description: bacterial SSU rRNA
Rfam family: Bacterial small subunit ribosomal RNA
Source: RNAcentral